GCAGGACAUAGAGACCAUUUCUAGGAAAAUGGAAGAGGAUGAUGAGAAACUUACGCUGCAGCUGGACGAGAUGAAGGACAGGAUCGCCAGCGACCUGGAGAGAGCCGCCACGCUCAAAGGAAGGUUCAGCUCGACGACUCGUUAAAGGACCACGAUAUGAUGUCAGAUGCUCUGGGUGUGAAGAUAACUGAAGUGUAUCGCUGCUGCGUGGACUCCCAUCCGACCUGCCUCAGCACCUUGGAGAAGCUGACCAGUGUUUGAACACCGUGCAUGUUUACAGCUCCAGUUCUUGGAGAGCAUCCCUAAAGAGAACCUG
Trematomus bernacchii (emerald rockcod) is the source of this 316-nucleotide long non-coding RNA. RefSeq lists it as uncharacterized. The record is from RefSeq and is a predicted model, not a curated record. The transcript is spliced from 3 exons. NCBI's taxonomy places the organism in Eukaryota, Metazoa, Chordata, Actinopteri, Perciformes, Nototheniidae.